This is a long non-coding RNA of Pteropus alecto (black flying fox), 1720 nucleotides long. RefSeq lists it as uncharacterized. The record is from RefSeq and is a predicted model, not a curated record. The transcript has 2 exons. Lineage: Eukaryota; Metazoa; Chordata; Mammalia; Chiroptera; Pteropodidae.
CAGCACAAAACCUGGCAUGUAGUAGACUUAAAAAAAAAAAAAUCCUUGUGGGUUAAGUCACAGUCCCGGGUCCUGACUGAGACUGAGUGUGUAUGCGCGUGUGUCUCACACCCCUUCCUGCCCCCAUUCUCCGCCACAAUCAAGGAGGGCCAUUCCACACGUCCGCCACUGCCCAAGUGUCCCCCAGCCUGCGGCACGUUAAACUCCACCUGCUGUGCUGGCCAACGCAUGUCACCCCUCGCCGCUGGAAGCUUCCUCGAAGCACCGAUUUCUCCCUGGCCACCCUGCCUCCAUCGCCUUUGCCAUUCGGGUCUAGGCUGGCGUUAGGGUCUCUCUCCCUCCUGACCACGAACGUGGGGGGAAUUAUCCAGCUCUACGAGGGGCGAAGCACCCCCACUAAGAGGCUGAAAUAAAAUAGCAUCGACCACAGUAAAAUGCAAGGGGAACAGCAGGCGAGGAUGUGGAGACACUGGAGCCCCGAGGAGCUGCCGGUGAGGCCAGCGGUCCAGUCUCCGUGGACAAGCUGAGCGGUUCCUCAAAAAGCUAAAUCCAGACUGUGACCCGCCGUUCCGGGCCCGGGUGUCCCUGUGCCAGCAGAUCUGAGGUCAGGGUCUCCAGCGGGGCCCGCACAGCAUGUCCGCAGCCGCACUGUCCGCGAGGGCCAGAAGGAAGAAACACCCCGAGCGGCCGCCCACCGGCAGAGCGAUGCACAAAAUGGGUCCAUCACGCAAUGCUUACGCCGCCCCCUGCGGACCCCCGCGUGGGCUGGGAGUGCAGCCGGCCACUGCCCCCCACACCCCGUCCUGGCCACAUCCUCCUCGCGGCCCCCUAGAUACGCAUCCUAUGGAGAGAUGAAAGGGCCAGGGUCACACGGCCCCCUGUGCCUCAGCCCCGCUGCGCCCUCCCUGACGCACAGCCGAGUCCUAGGCCGCAUCCUUUCCCGGCCGCAGAGUGCCCUCUGGUGGUCACAUUGGAAGUUUUCGAGGACUCAGAAGAGGAAACGGAAUUGGGUGGAUGGACCCCAAGGUCAAGGACCAGAGGCCAGGGGCUGCCUGAGGACAAAGACCUGCUGCCCACGCCGGGACCAUCCUCUGCGAGGGGCACCCGGACUUCCAGCCAGGGCGGGGCACCUGUGGCGCGCCUCAGCCCUCAGAGGGUGCCAGGCGCACCCCCCGACCUCCUGCAGGCCCCACCCAUAUCCUGACCCCACCCUCAGGACAGAGGCCCCGGAGCCUGGAGGAGAGGUGGGGCUGGGAGGCUGCCGCACAGAAUUUUCACAAGAAGCGAACUUGGUCUUUGUCUCCAUUUCUGGCACCAGGCUCUUAAAACUCUUGGAAUUUCCUAAGUGCUGAGAGUGAUAAAUGUGUCUUUUGUUAUGUUAAUGAGGUGACUUAGGCUGGUCACCAGAAGAACCAACCAGGCGAUUAAAGGCUGGAACUUUCGGUCCUCCGGGGCUGGAGGUUAAACCCGCCCACCCAUCCCCAGUGGCUAACGAUUUAAUCAGCUGUGCCCAAGUAAUACGGCCUCCUGGAAAACCCAAAAGGACAGUGUUCUGAGAGCUUCCAGCUUCCAGGUUGGUGAACAGGCAGAGAUCUGGGGACAGGGGUGCCUGGAGAAGGUGUGGAAGCCCCUUGCCACGUGCUCUCCCAGUGGGUCUCUUCCAUCUGCUAUUCCCGAGCUACAUCCUUUUAUAAUAAAACCGAUAAUCUAGUAAGUGAAA